This is a long non-coding RNA of Lucilia sericata (common green bottle fly), 400 nucleotides long. RefSeq lists it as uncharacterized. Lineage: Eukaryota; Metazoa; Arthropoda; Insecta; Diptera; Calliphoridae. The record is from RefSeq and is a predicted model, not a curated record. The transcript is spliced from 2 exons.
AAAAUCAAAUAUUUUUGCAUGGUCAAAGCUGCUCCUAAUUGAAAUUAUUUUCUAUUUAGAUGAAAAUCAAAAUAAAAGGGUAAGGUUUUCUCAGUGAAAUAAGAUUUCCAUAUUGAUUUGAGCAAAACUAUUUAAUAUUUGAAUUAUAGAUCAAAAUCACCUAUGUCUAUUGGGUUUCGAAUAUCUGGUGGGUUUCUUUUUAUAUUUGGUGUCAAUUUUAAUGAUUGGCACCUAAUUACAGAUUUAUUUGUUUGUCAGCUUGUACAUUUCUUCUGUCUAAAAAAAAAGGCUGUGUACAUUUCAUUGGAGAGACUAUAGCUUCAGUUAAUUUAGGCUUUUGGUGAUCGUAGAUGUGCAGUGAAAUUCAAAAAAAAAAUUAAACAAUAUUUAAAAAAAAAAA